GGCGAGAUGGCGGAGUGGUCUAACGCGAUAGACUAGAAAUCUAUUACCUUCGGGUGCGCAGGUUCGAAUCCUGCUCUCGUCG
Ascosphaera pollenicola is the source of this 82-nucleotide non-coding RNA. The record is from the annotation of a GenBank genome assembly. NCBI's taxonomy places the organism in Eukaryota, Fungi, Ascomycota, Eurotiomycetes, Onygenales, Ascosphaeraceae.